GUGCCAGCAGCCGCGGUAAGACAGAGGUUGCAAGCGUUGUUCGGAAUUACUGGGCGUAAAGGGAGUGUAGGCGGCGAAGUAUGUCUGACGUGAAAGCCCUCGGCUUAACUGGGGAAGUGCAUCAGAAACUGCUUUGCUUGAGUGUGAUAGAGGAUGGCGGAAUUCCUAGAGUAGAGGUGAAAUUCGUAGAUACUAGGAGGAACACCAGCAGCGAAGGCGGCCAUCUGGUUCAUAACUGACGCUGAAACUCGAAAGCGUGGGGAGCAAACAGGAUUAGAUACCCCUGUAGUCC
This 292-nucleotide ribosomal RNA is filed under the name uncultured bacterium. RNAcentral describes it as "partial 16S ribosomal RNA". It matches the Rfam family "Bacterial small subunit ribosomal RNA", at positions 505 to 796 of the family's 1533-position model. The record is from RNAcentral.